CCUACGGGUGGCAGCAGUGGGGAAUAUUGGGCAAUGGGCGCAAGCCUGACCCAGCAACGCCGCGUGAAGGAAGAAGGCUUUCGGGUUGUAAACUUCUUUUAAGAGGGAAGAGCAGAAGACGGUACCUCUUGAAUAAGCCACGGCUAACUACGUGGCAGCAGCCGCGGGAAUACGGAGGUGGCAAGCGUUGUCCGGAUUUACUGGGUGUAAAGGGCGGGUAGCCGGGCUGACAAGUCAGAUGUGAAAUCCCGUGGCUCAACCACGGAACUGCAUUUGAAACUGUCGGUCUUGAGUGUCGGAGAGGUAGGCGGAAUGCGUAGUGUAGCGGUGAAAUGCAUAGAUAUUACGCAGAACACCGGUGGCGAAGGCGGCCUGCUGGACCCCAACUGACGGUGAGGCGCGAAAGCGUGGGGAGCAAACAGGAUUAGAUACCCGAGUAGUC
This 442-nucleotide ribosomal RNA is filed under the name uncultured bacterium. Its description in RNAcentral is "partial 16S ribosomal RNA". It matches the Rfam family "Bacterial small subunit ribosomal RNA", at positions 338 to 795 of the family's 1533-position model. The record is from RNAcentral.